GGUCCCGCCGAGCUUGUCCCGGCCUGCCGCGGUACCCCUGUGCCUGUCCUAAGCGCGAGCCCUGCUGCGUCCCGCUGGCGUUCCUUCGGCUUGUGUUGAGCUCCCGGCCGGGAACGCCAGUCCAGCGUGGAGUGCGUGACUCCUGGUGUCCGGAGGGCUUUCCGGAUCUUCGGCGUCACCGCAGCGCUGCCUCGAUGGCACCGCCACGGCCCGCCUGGGCUCCAGGCCGAUUUUCGAGACCGGAGGCCUAGGCUUGGCCGGAGCGGCCCGGUGCGUCCCCGCAGCGCCUGCACCCUACGGCCUGGCACGUGCUGGCCUUCGUGUCCUGUUGAAGCCAAGCCACUUGGUGCGACGUCGUCUUCAGACUGUGAUAGGGUACACCAGACCUCUCUCUAAGUCCGAACAGAAAAUGUGAACUUAGUCCAGGCCGCAAAAAUGACCCAGUGUCCCCCUCCUGGGCGGAUGAGAGGCAGUUCUUCUUCUGUCUAGUCUGCCUAUUAGACUACCAUACCCAGUCAUGGAAGUAACCUCUUCUUCCUGACACCGUCCAGAGCAAAGCUCCACGUCCUUAAAGGCCACCCAAAACAAACCGACACAGACCCAAACCUUACAAGUCCUUUCCAACAACCUCUUUUUUUUUUUUUUAACAUUUAUUUAUUUAUUUUAGUUGUAGAUAGACACAUCCUUUAUUUUUAUGUAGUACUGAGGAUCGAACCCAGGGCCUUGCAUGUGCUAGGUGAGCACUCAACCGCUGAGCCACAACCGAAGCCCCCCAACAACCUCUUAUCUGAGUUUCCCAGUUAGGUAUUCUCCCUCCAUGCAAUGAGUGAUAAGACCAGAUGUGACCCCAGCUGCUCUCCGCCUGUAGGACAUUGACUGGGUCCCCCAAGCCUCCAUGCUGCUCAUCUAGCUGCAGCAGAUGAAAUGCCUCCUCGCUUACAGCAGAAAUACUUGGAAGUAACAACAAUCAGUCUCCAUUUCCUUGCCUCCUACCCACUCCUCAGUCCACCCCAAUCUAGUUUCUCCCCAUCACUUAUCCAAAAGAGGCUCUUGCUAAACUCACCAGGACUUUCCACUUGAGCUAAGUGGAACCAACCUUUUUGGUCAUCAUCUUACUGCCAUCUCAGCAAUGUCUGUCUCUUGGCCUCUCUUUCCCUUUGGUUUGUAGAAUUCAUCACUCUUCUAUUUUUAUUUCUGUUCUCUGGCUUCUCCAUCUCUGUCUCCUUUACAGGCUCUUCUGUCUUGCUAUUAGAUGAAAUUCUUUUAAGUCUUGAUCUGAGUCCUCAUUCCAUAUUCUGUCCCUUGGUAAUCUCAUGCUCGUCUGGUUGAAUUACUACCCAAAUGAACAUAGUUUGCUAAUUUACAUUUACUGCUAUACCAGAUCUGUGUUCAUGUAAGUAUCCAUGUGAUAUAUCCUGGAUGACUCAAAAGUACCUCAACCUGUCCCCAGCUGAAUUCACUUUCUCUGCCCCCCCCCCUCUUUCCUUCAACCUAGUCCCCUUCCAGAGUUGACACCACCCUCAAUUCCCACUACAGACACUUCCAUAGAAGACAGAUUAAAAGGUACCCCCAAUGCCCCCAUCUCCUAAUACUCAGAUUUAGUGCAGACCCCUUGCUUUGUUUGUGGUAAUGUGUGAUUCCUUUACACAUGUUGGUAACACCCACCCUGCUAGGAGGCUCAGAGGAAGCUUCUGUCCCAGCCUACCUGGUUGCAGCCUUGCAAGGGCUCAGCUGGGACUGAAAACUGGGGAGUUGGUGCAUGGACUCCAGGCAGAGGGAUGUGGUGCUGUGCCCUGCAGCGGUGGGUAUGAAUACACUCUCCAUCACAGGUUCUGUCUGCUUACCUCCCAAACGCCUUGCCUUGCAGCCCACCCCCGCCAAGUCUGUGUACCAGAACAGCCUCCUUUCAGCCUUCUCCCUCUCCCUCAAUCCCUUCUGCUUCACUUUCUUUCCCUUGUCCCAGGACGUUUUCUCCUGUGGGGUCCUUGGCUUGUAUAACAGCAUCAAAAACAAACAUUUGUUUGUUUGUUCAUUCAUCCAAUAUUUGGUGUCAGGUGCUGAGAGUACAAGAACGAGCAGAGCAAAGCCAGGCACGAUUCCUGACCUCCAGCAACUUCCAUUCUGACCGAAGACUGUCAUUACAGAACUAACUGCAUGUAAGUGUAAAAUGGCAACCAUGACAAAGUGGCAAUGGGACAGGAGUCCAGAGGAACUGUUGACCCAGCUGAAAUCUGAGGGACAAAGGGAACUUACCCUGGGAAAGGGAGGACACUCCAAGCCACAAGGAAUCACCAGAUGGCAUUCCAAAGUGGCUGUCCCAUCUUGCAUUCCCACCAGCAAUGGAUAAGAGUUCUUGUUUCAUAUUCUCAUGAGCAUUUGGUGUUGUCAGUGUUCUGGAUUUUGGCCAUUCUAAUAGGUGUAUAAUUAACUAGCUUUUUAUUGAAAAGAGAUGAAUCCCUAAAAGGAUGGAUUUUCUUCCUUCCUUCCUUCUUUCCUCAUUCCCUCCCUCCCUCCUCUCUUUCUCUUUUUCCUUUUUGUACCAGGGAUUGAACCUAGGGCGCUUUACCACUGAGCUACAUCCCCAGCCCCUUUUAUAUUUUAUUUUGAGACAGUCUGGCUAAGUUGCUAAGGUUGCUGAACUUGGUCUUGAACUUGAGAUCCUCCUGCCUCAAUUUGGGAUUAGGGGUAUGUGCCACUGUGCUGGGCCUGGGUGAAUUUUCACAAAGUAAGCACACCUGUGUAACAAGGACCUAGAUUAAAAAACAACAUGCACCCCAGAAGCCACUUCUGGUUGUGAUCUCCCAAGAUCAGCACUCUGCCAUAGAAGAGUUUUGUUGGGGUGUGAUCUUUAUGGAAGUGAGACCAUACAGUGUGUGUUUUCAAAUCUUUUCACUCAACUUUGCAUUUAUGAAAUUGAUCUUCAUUGUUAAGAGUCAUAGUGCACUCCCUCUUGUUGCUAUGACAUAAGCAUUUUUAUUUGCAUGUACCACUACUUAUUUAUCCAUUCUCAUUUAUCUGAGUUGUGGCCAGUCAGGCAGUUACAAGUACUGCUACUAAGAACAUUUAUCUCAUUUGGUUGGCACAGAAUCUUAUUUCUGCUAGGAUAUGCCCAGGGGUGGGGUGAUCAUAAGGUAUGUUUAUGUUCAGCUUAAUGCUCUCUAUAGUAUGUGUUUUUAUUGUGGUAAAAUAUGCAUAAUAGAAGCUUUACCAGUCUCCAAAACCUUUCAUCAGUUCUUCUUUCACUAUCUGUCUCCAAAACCUUUCAUCAGGUCUUUUUUGUUGUUGUUGUUCCUUGUGCAUGUGAGGCAAGCACCCUACCAACUGAGCUAUACACAGCCCUGUCAUCUCAGAUUUUAAUGAAACUUCAUCCUCAUUAAAAGCUCACUCUCCCUCCCUGCAGCCCUAUAACUUUCAUUGUUUCCUCUGCUGUCUUAGGCACCUCACAAACGUGGAUUCCUACACUACUUGUUCUUUUCUCCUAGCAUAAUGUUUUCAAGAUUCAUCCAUGUUGUCACAUGUAUCAGGACUUAAUUACUUUUUAAUGGCUGAACAAUAUUCCAUUGAAUGGAUAGACCAUGUUUGUUUAAACAUUCAUUUGUUGAUGAACACUUGACUUGUUUCCACCUUUUGGCUGUUGCUAUGAAUUUUGGUGUACAAGUAUCUGUUUGAAUCCCUGCUUUCAAGUCUUUGGGGUAUAUAACCACAAGUGGAAUUGCUGGGUCACAUGAGGAUUCCAUGUGUAGUUUUUUGUAAGAACCACUGUCCUGUUUUCUGCAAUGACUAUACCAUUUUAUGUUCCCACCAACAACUGAUUGUUUUAUUUUUGAUGACUGCUGGGCACAGUGGGACCCACCUGUUAUCCCAGCUACUUGGAAGGCUGAGGCAGUAGGAUCAUGAGUUCAAAGCCAGCCUUAGCAACUUAAAGGCCUCUAAGCAAAUUAGCGAGACCCUGUCUCAACAUAUAAAAAAUAAAAGGGCUGGUGAUGUGGCUUAGUUGUUAAAUGCCGCUGGGUUUAAUCCCCGGUAACAAAUAUGCAUAUAUAUAUAUGAUCUUUAAAGAUUAUAUUCAUAUUCAUGUAAAUCAAUUUUUAUAAUUUCUAUAAUUAAAAAAUAGUUAAAUUCAUAAAAUUCAUUAAAAGUUAUUAAUAUGGUAUCUAAAAAUCCAAGUGGUACAAUGUUCAGGGAAAGAAGAAAAGUCAAUGCAGACUUGAAUUGCCAUUGUGGGAGACAAUUAUGUUUGGCUAGAAAAAAAUGUAUUCUAGCUAUUGAAAUGACUGAGCCUCUUGAUACUGAAAUCAUUAGAGCAAAAUUUGCCAUCAAUUCAGAGCUAAAGAAGUCUCCUCUUCAAAAAAAUGAAAAGAAAUAAAUAGAAAAUUUAGAAACAAGUUAUUAUUAAUAUGAGCAAAAAAACUAAGGAAAUGAAUUUUUCUUUUAAAUAUUUUUUAGUUGUAGAUGGGUACAAUACCUUUAUUAUUUAUUUUUAUAUGGUGCUGAGGAUUAACCCAGUGCCUCACACAUGCUAGGCAAGUACUCCACCACUAGCCACAACCCCAGCCCCCUAAGGAAAUGCCUUUGAAAUUAAUUUUUUGAGUCUUCAUUGUGGCUACUUUGUGAUAAUGUAAAAAUGAUAGAACAGCAACUUGGUGAAUGCAAGAAGCAGGUUCUGGAAUAUCUGUCCCACAGUGGGCAAAGAUUUUCUCAACAUUUAUUUUAAAUGUUUUAAGACAGAGUGAAUUAAUUGUGACUGACUCAUUAAUUCCAUGUAAUUUUUUUUCCUUUUCAUGCAUACCUUUCUGCAGGAAUACAACAGAAUCAAUUACUUGCAAUUUGAAAAAGGUGUCAAAGAUUGGAAAAAUUAAGCAGAAUUUGUGACCAUGAACGCUUUGUUUCAGUGUGAUGCUUUUCUAAAAUUAAAGUAUCUUUCUAAAAAUAUUCAACUGAUAGUUUAAAAAAUGAUGCUUUGCAUUAUGAAAAAGUUAGAUAAACAAAAGUUCACCAUUGAGGGUAGUUUAAAUGUUACAAAUAAGAAAUCAUUAGAAAUCCAAGUGGUGCAAUGUUUCCAGCCUUAGCUGAUUUUAUAGCUAUUCAUAAAAGAGGAUGUCUUAUUUGUAUAGUAAAAUUCACAACAAAUGUAAAAUGACUUAAUUGCCUUAGAGCUGAAAUACUAUCAAGAAAAAAAGAAACAAAUGCUUCUGAUUACUUUUUUUUUUUUUUUUUUUUUGGUACCAGGGAUUGAACUCCGGGGCACUCGACCACUGAGCCACAUCUCCAGCCCUAUUUUGUAUUUUAUUUAGAGACAGGGUCUCACUGAAUUGCUUAGCACCUCCCUGUUGCUGAGGCUGGCUUUGAACUCGUGAUUCUCCUGCCUCCUGAGCCGCUGGGCUUACAGGCAUGCACCAUGGAACCCCACCCUGAUUACUUUUUGAUGGUGCCCCAGGUACAGACCAUGUGAGCACAAGAUACACUCAUACUGAGAACGGUGUCAUAAUGAUAAAAGGUACAUGGAUUUGAUCGAAAUGUCAGAAAAGACAGGCAGGUCUAGCACAUGAAGUUAGGGACUAGAGAAGAUACUGACAUGAAAACUUCUUGUGGCCAGGUAUAGGAUGGUGGAGCAAACAGGACAGGCUGUACAACAGUUUGGCUAGAAAAACUGUGUUCAAGCUAUUGAAAUGACUGAGCCAGUGAAAGCUAUUUCCCCCAGAAACAGCUUUGUGCCUUCCUCAGCUCAUUAUCUCAAUAUAUACAAAUGCUACUUUUGCGAAAUGAAAUUGAAUAAUCUUUCUUAGCAUUACAUAUUUGUUUGUGUGUAUAUGAAUUCAGUAAGCAGAUAGACUAUUCUCUGUUUUAAAAACAAAAAAUACGUAUGGACCCCAUGGGAAUCAAGGCCAAAUACAAUCAAGGUACUUUACAAAGAAUGGAUAAAUAUGCAUGAAUAGCGAAAGCAUUUUGUUGUGACCAGAUAAUAAAUUAUUAUGUAAUCUACCUGUGUAGGAUGAUUUGAGCAAAGUAGAAAAGUUAAUAAAGCUAUACUGCAAAAAAUUAUAAAGCUGCAUGCUUAGUAGGCCCAUCCCCUUGCUUACAACAAAUAAAAGUAAACUUGAGGGCUGGGGCUGUAGCUCAGUGGUGGAGCACUUGUCUAGCUUGUGUGAGGCACUGGGUUUGACCCUCAGCACCACAUAAAAAAUAUAAAAAGUAUUGUGUCCAUCUACAACUAAAAAAAAUAAAAAGUAAACUUGGAAGUAUGUUUAUCUGUUAAAUUUUAGCAAAAGAUAUUAAUAUACUGCCUAAAUUUUAAAAUUUAAAAAGCAUAGAAAUUGGAAGUGAACCAUCAUUGGAUGAUAAUGUUAAUUAUCAUGGGAAAAGUGCUUAUCAAAUAGCAAUUAAGUAGAUGCCCUGGGAUGGGGUUGUGGCUCAGUGGUAGAGUGCUUGCCUAGCAAGUAUGAGGCACUGGGUUCAAUCCUCAGCACCACAUAAAUGUAAAAUAAAGAUAUUAUGUCUAACCAAAACUUAAAAAUAAAUAUUUUUUAAAAAGUAGAUUCCCUAAUUUUACAUUUAAAAUGGAGGUAUAAAAAAAUUAAAAUAUCUUUAGAUUUUGAAUUUUUCAUUGGAAAAUUUAUAUCCUUUUAAUAUAUCUGAUUCCCACAAGGCAACCAUUUAUUUGACAUGUGUUCUGAUGAUUUAAGUCCUGCAGCAAUUUUAUCCAAAAUAGUUUUAAUCAGUAAUUUGUAAUAAAAAAUGGAUGUCUUAUUUGGAUCUUGUACCAAUUCACAAAUUUUGCUUAGUGCAAUCUUAUUGAACUUCAGAAAUGGCCUUCUAUCAGUCACAGCGUCAUCUUUACAAUAAAUUUCAGCAAGCUGAAGUUAAUAGAAAAUUAUUUAAGAUUGAGAAACCAGCCUCUACCUCAGAGCAAAGCCUGUUCAAGGAAGGGGGCAUGACCUUGUCCUUGGAAAGACCCACAGAGCACUCCUAGGCACAUUCCCACCCUGCUGAGUUGUUUAUCUACAAAUAAUAGGAGAGAUCUGCUGUGCCUGGUGUCCCUGACUCAGUCAGGCUAGGUGAGGACCCAUAGCAACCCCCUAGCAGCCACCAAUCAGCAUGAGACAGAGAAAAUACCUGGGGUGCCAGAUGACCCCCCAGUAGUUUAUGGUGUUGUGAAACCACGUAGUUCAGCAUUACUCCCCUCGUGGCUUAAACCAAUCAGUUCAAACGAAUCCCCCUCUUGUACUAACCCAUCACCCCAACCCAACUUGUUCCCGCCAGUGAAUGUGCUAAUCAUGUUUUAGAGUUGUGUUAUGAUUUUCCCGCAGUGUGUGAUGAUUUGCUAAGAGAUGCUAGGAUAUAUGUGGGGUCCCUGCCUUCCCCAAAGAGUGUAUAAAACUGCUGCAAACCCUGGGCUCGGGGCCUCUCAGCGUCACCAGUUGCUAUGUGCGCAGAGGACCGAGCUAGCUCGAAAUAAACACCUCUUUGCUGCUUACAUCAA
RNAcentral lists this long non-coding RNA (7480 nucleotides) under Marmota monax (woodchuck). The stretch from base 6401 to 6469 matches the Rfam family "tRNA". Lineage: Eukaryota; Metazoa; Chordata; Mammalia; Rodentia; Sciuridae. The record is from RNAcentral.